Molecule: ribosomal RNA, 253 nt
Filed under: uncultured bacterium
Lineage: Bacteria
Description: partial 16S ribosomal RNA
Rfam family: Bacterial small subunit ribosomal RNA
Source: RNAcentral
UACGAAGGGUGCAAGCGUUACUCGGAAUUACUGGGCGUAAAGCGUGCGUAGGUGGUUCGUUAAGUCUGUCGUGAAAGCCCCGGGCUCAACCUGGGAAUGGCGAUGGAUACUGGCGAGCUAGAGUGCGGUAGAGGAGAGUGGAAUUCCUGGUGUAGCGGUGAAAUGCGCAGAUAUCAGGAAGAACACCCGUGGCGAAAGCGGCUCUCUGGAACGGUACUGACGCUGAGACGCGAAAGCGUGGGGAGCGAACAGG